RNAcentral lists this ribosomal RNA (2415 nucleotides) under Triticum aestivum (bread wheat). RNAcentral's name for it is "partial small subunit ribosomal RNA". The record is from RNAcentral. Lineage: Eukaryota; Viridiplantae; Streptophyta; Magnoliopsida; Poales; Poaceae.
AUGGCGGUGCGGCAGCCCCGUUCGUCGGAGCAGCGUGCCUGGCCUCGAGGCCGCGCGCUCCUCUGCCGAACGGCGCUAGCCGUGUUGAGCACAUGGCGAGAUCGGAAGCCUGUUCGCGCCGGCGACGCGCACAGGCGCUCGGCGGCGAGGUGGGGAGGCGAUCGCCGGCGCCUGUCGUUUGGUGGCGGCGACGUGCGCGGCUCAGGGGACACACAACAUUCGCGUCCGACAGGCGGCGCCGCCAGUCAUUUCUUCCCGCCGGCCAUCAAGAGAGACGGCGGCGUAGUAGCGUCAGUAGGACAAGCAAGGACGAUAAUCAUAGACAUCCCUGACAAAAGCUCCUUGGACAUGGCCAACACUACCAGUGGGUUCAGCAAUCAAAUCUUGAUGGGAACGAGCAUGGAUCCAACUUGUGCGCUCUCUGGAGCAACAACUCCUCCAGUGUGUGAUGCAGCAAAUGGAGAAAGGGUGGACAGUCCAUUUUUUACACUGGAACUUGAGCAUGGUGGAAUUUUCUGUGGCCCAAUCACAAACCUGGAGUACUGGAACCCUUCUGUUGAGGUGCUAGACUUUGUUGACUCUGGCACUUUCUCUUAUGCAUUCCUUGAACAACACUUGGUUUGGUUGGGAUAUCCUGUGAGUGAGCACAUCAUUUACUUCAGCAAACCAAAUAAACCAAUCUCAGAUGGUUUGAUCAGAAUUAGCAGUGAUGAUGAUGUGCAGCAUAUUAUCAGAGCUAGUGCUGAGCAUAAGAUGCUUGUAGCCAUGGUUGACCAUACAGAUUUCAUCAGCAACUUCAGGUCUGACUUGGUGUGCACAUUGCCCCUAUCUUUCAUAACAUCAACAACAAGUUUUGCAGCAGGAAGUGCAUCCCCUUCCCAUAGCCUAGUUUCAGUCUUUGUAGAAGAUCCUUUGUUAGAGAUUGCAGCAAAUGCAACAGACCCAGAGAGUUUGCUUAUUGAGGGUGCUGAGCAGAACAUGCUAACUGAAGAUCCCUUGUUAGAGAUUGCACCAAUUGGAACAGACCCACAUAGUUUGCUUAUUGAGGGUGCUGAGCAGAACAUGCUAACUGAAGAUGGAGAAACAGUUAUUGAAGAUGUAGUUGUUUCAGAUUCUGAUUUCAGUGACAGUGACUAUGACAUAGAUGAUGGUGAUGAUGAUCUUUAUGAUGACAACAUUGACUUUGAUGUUGAUGAAGAAGCUGAUCAGGAUGAGGAUGAUGUGGAGCCUGAAUACUUGCUUGAGGAUGAAGAUCUCAACCUAUCAACUGAGCAAGCAGAUGAACUUAGGUACAAAUUUAAAGCUUUCAAUGCAAAGGUGGACAUGAUUUCCCCUGUGUUUAAAGUAGGGAUGGUAUUUGCUGAUGUGGUUGAGCUAAGACAUGCACUGACUGCAUAUUCAGUUAGAAACAGAGUGCAGAUCAAGAAGAUAAAGAAUGACAAGAGGAGACUUGAAGCAGUUUGUGAAAAUGGUUGCCCAUGGUUUCUGUAUGCUGGCAAUGACAACAGGACAGGGGGGUUUGUCAUCAAGACUUACUAUGGAGAACAUAUAUGUCAGAAGAAAUGGAAGAUAAGGUCACUGACAGCAAAAUUCCUGUGCAAGUAUUUCAUAAAUGAGUUCAGAGAUGACCAGAAGAUGUCACUAGGUACAUUUUCAAGAAAGAUCACCAAUGAAUUUCAUGUCACCCCUAACAGAUGGAAGCUAGCUAGGGCAAGAACUGCAGCACUUAAGGAGAUCCAUGGUGAUGAAGAAGAGCAGUUCAGUAGGCUUAGGGACUAUGGUCAUGAAUUGAGGAAUACCAACCCUAGGUCUACAUUUCUUCUGUCAACUGAUGUUGUUAGAGACAAAGAUUUCCCACAGGGCAGGAAAUGUCUGAAAACUCUAUAUUGGUCUUAUGAUGCAUGCAAAAGGGGUUGGCUCAAGGGAUGCAGGCCUAUUAUUUUCAUUGAUGGUUGUCACAUGAAAAAUAGGUUUAAAGGAGUGUUGCUUAGUGCAGUGGGUAUUGAUCCUAAUGACUGCAUUUUCCCCAUUGCAAUGGGUUGGGUGGAAGUAGAGUGCACCAGUUCUUGGGAGUGGUUUCUCACUACAUUGAGAGAUGACCUUAACAUCACAAAUAGUGCUCCUUUCACUAUUAUGAGUGACAAGCAGAAAGGUUUGAUCAAUGCUGUGCAAAAAAUCUGGCCAGAUGCUGAGCAUAGGUUUUGUGUUAGGCAUAUUUAUCAGAAUUUCAAUGAGAAGCACAAAGGAGAGCAACUGAAGCAAGAUCUGUGGGCCAUUGCAAGAGCACCAAACAGGGUUAAGUGGAGCCAAAACUGUGAGAAAAUGGAUGGACACAGUGCAGCUGCCUUCCACUGGACUGAAAGACUUGAUCCAAAGACAUGGUGUAAAUCAUUUUUUAGUCUUUCCCAAGUGUGA